UGCACACUUCACACCAUUGGACAAAUUCAAAGUUUACUUCAGCUAAAAUCUUCUUUCUUUCGUUCACACAAAUUAUCCUUGCAAGAAAAAGAACUCAAGCUUAAGAGAUUACAACAUCCAAAACUAUUCAAGGCUUUGUGACCAGGGGGAUUAGCGCUGCUUUCCCAAGACAGGUUUAUAAGUGAUUAUGAUCUUCAGGCUUUGCCUAACCAGGUUGGCUGGCCGGUGCUGACGGGACGGAGCUGAGGCUAGGGUUAAAUUCCUAUUUUAGACUUCCGCUGUAGCAAUUACUCAUAUCAGUCUUUUGUUUUUCCAACUUAAGAUCUUCAUGUUAAAUUUCAAAUGAUAUACCUGACCGAGCUUAGACUAUUCACUACUAAAUUUAUGCCAAUGAAUGUCGGUUGUCAGAAGCAUGAAACAAAACUUGUGAUCCAAAGGGGCAUAGCCCGACUCUCUAUCUUAUUAUUCGGGUUUUAACAAGGUUGUUCCUUGUUUAUUUCUAUGAAUUAGUUGUACCUCGAUUAUAUUUAUUCAUUCAAGAAUUGGGGUGUGACAGAAUGGUAUCAGAGCAUGAGUUUUCUUUCAUGACUCUGAUAACCAUAAGCUUUUGAUGUUAAGUCUAGAAUAGUAUCUCUAGACUUCUAAGAAUGUCAGAAGCCCUCAGCUCGCCGUCACACUGCCGCAACUAAGGUACGAUAAUAGUUUCAAAAAUAUAUAUGUAUAUUCAAAGUUAUGAAAAUUUUCAUGAAAAUGUGCGCCUUAUGUUUAUGAUGUUAUGUGAAUGCUUUUUGUCGUGUUUGGGACUACCCGAACCCAUAACGACUCAAUGAAUGUAUUUCGUGUUUGGGACAACCCGAGCCCUUAACGAAUCAUUGUAUGUAUGUAUGUAUGGUCGAGUUAGAUUCCUUGAAUCUUUCCGGCAUAAGCAAAGUUUUUCAUGAAAGGGACAUUUAAUGUCCAUAUGACUCAAAAUUUCAAAGAAAGCAAAUAUAUGUAUGUAUGUAUGUAUGAAUGAAUGAUGAGAAAGCUUUAUGUUAUCAUUUUAGCUUCACUGCCUAUAUGAUUAGAAUGAUGAGUUCUUUUACAAACCGUUUGAGAACCACCCAAGAAUGUCUUAAGAAUGUUAGUCGUGAUAACACCGCUAGAACGGCAUAGAAUGGAUUUAUA
Molecule: long non-coding RNA, 1167 nt
Organism: Salvia miltiorrhiza (redroot sage)
Lineage: Eukaryota; Viridiplantae; Streptophyta; Magnoliopsida; Lamiales; Lamiaceae
Exons: 3
Source: RefSeq, a predicted model, not a curated record